Long non-coding RNA from Mytilus californianus (California mussel), 416 nucleotides. RefSeq lists it as uncharacterized. The transcript has 2 exons. Lineage: Eukaryota; Metazoa; Mollusca; Bivalvia; Mytilida; Mytilidae. The record is from RefSeq and is a predicted model, not a curated record.
GUAUUCCAUAUAUUGAAGGAUCUAUAUUUACUAUGACGUUGAAUGAUAAAUCAAUCCUUAUUGUUCUUUCGAGGUAUUCGUGUUUUUUGAAAAAUGUUAUUUUGUUGUGUCUAAGAUCAAUGUCUAGGCCGGACAGGUCAGGAACGACAUGGGGCAUGCUAAUAUAAAGUUGUGAUGUGCAAUUCACCACAACUCUAUUUUUUGAAGGUUGAUCAAAACAGUUACAUCUUACAGGACAUUUUUCUUUUUCUGUUAUGUUGCAAAUCAAUAGGUCUGCAGUAUGAUUUUUCAUCCUGAAAUAUCCUAGGCUGUAGCCCUUCAAAUGAGGUGGGUAAACACAUUUGGGCAUACCCAAUGUAUAGUACUGAUCCAUAGCUUGAGAAGCCAUAACCAAGUAUCCAUCCCACAUUUUACAA